Molecule: ribosomal RNA, 1524 nt
Filed under: Glomus macrocarpum
Lineage: Eukaryota; Fungi; Glomeromycota; Glomeromycetes; Glomerales; Glomeraceae
Description: eukaryotic LSU rRNA
Rfam family: Eukaryotic large subunit ribosomal RNA (bases 702-1524)
Source: RNAcentral
UAUUGCUCUACAACGAGGAAUCCCUAGUAAGCACAAGUCAUCAGCUUGUGCUGAUUACGGCCCUGCCCUAUGUACACACCGCCCGUCGCUACUACCGAUUGAAUGGCUUAGUGAGACCCGCGGAUCGAUACUCAUCGACUGUAAAAGGUCUUUGUUUAUUGAGAAGUUGGUCAAACUUGGUCAUUUAGAAGAAGUAAAAGUCGUAACAAGGUUUCCGUAGGUGAACCUGCGGAAGGAUCGUUAUCAAUUACUGCGCGAUUUUUUUUUGCGCAUGUAUUUAAAACCCACACUCUUUUUUGGAAAAUUGACAUAUUUUUUACUUGAAAUUAAGUAAUUAAAAAGAUCACUUUCAACAACGGGUCUCUUGGCACUCGCAUCGAUGAAGAACGUAGCAAAGUGCGAUAAGUAGUGUGAAUUGCAGAAUUCCGCAGAUCAUCGAAUUUUUGAACGCAAAUUGCACUCUUCGAUUUCGAAGAGUAGGCCUGUUUGAGGGUCGUCAAAAUAAAAAUCGAUUCGUUACUUUUGUAACAUUUCGGAAUUGAGUCAUCUAGCAUCUUUGAUUCAAGAGGCUUAAAAUUGAUCACCUUUGGUAUGAUUUGGGUGUACUUAAGAUUUCUUUAUCGCGCUCGAUGAAUAUCGGACAUUUUCAUUAGGAUGACCAUGAUUGAUAAUGGUUUCAUUCCUAUAAUCAUUUCAUGAUACGACCUCAAAUCAGGUAGGAAUACCCGCGGAACUUAAGCAUAUCAAUAAGCGGAGGAAAAGAAAAUAACAAUGAUUCCCCCAGUAACGACGAGUGAAGAGGGAAUAGCUCAAAUUUUAAAUCUAUUAGGUUUCACCUAGUCGAGUUGUAAUUUGAAGAAGCAUUUUCCGUGUUUUCAAUAACCCAAAUUGGGAUAAGGUAUCAAGGAGGGUGAGAAUCCUGUCCGGUUAAUUUGAGACACUUUACGAUACGCUCUAAGAGAGUUGUUUGGGAUUGCAGCUCAAAAUGGGAGGUAAAUUUCUCCUAAGGUAAAUAAAGACGAGAGACCGAUAGCGAACAAGUACCGUGAGGGAAAGAUGAAAAGAACUUUGAAAAGAGGGUUAAAUAGUACGUGAAAUUGUUGAAAGGGAAACGAUUAAAGUCAGUCAUACUGAUGGGAAAUCAACUUCUCGAGCGUGGUUUAGUGGGAUCAAAGUGCCUUUGUUCUCGCGAUAUCUGGGUUCUUUUGGUGCACUUUCUUUAUUGUAGGUUAGCAUCGGUUUUGAUCGUCAUAAAAUGACUGGAGGAAUGUGGCUUCGACUUCGGUUGAAGUGUUAUAAACUCUGGUAGAUGUAAUGGAUGAGACCGAGGAUUGCAACGGAUGCCCUUAAGGGCUAUCCGCCUGGCCUCUAAUUGUCAAUUUGGCUUCGAAAGCUUGCUUACGAUGUUAAAGUGUGCGGUCAAUAGGUUAGAUCGGAUAAAAUUCGUUAAGGAUGCUGACGUAAUGGCUUUAAACGACCCGUCUUGAAACACGGACCAAGGAGUCUAACAUGUAUGCGAGUGUU